This 543-nucleotide ribosomal RNA is filed under the name uncultured bacterium. RNAcentral's name for it is "bacterial SSU rRNA". It matches the Rfam family "Bacterial small subunit ribosomal RNA", at positions 777 to 1320 of the family's 1533-position model. The record is from RNAcentral.
AAUAGAUACCCGGUAGUCCACCCGUAAACGUUGGGAACUAGUUGUGGGUCCAUUCCACGGAUUCCGUGACGCAGCUAACGCAUUAAGUUCCCCGCCUGGGGAGUACGGCCGCAAGGCUAAAACUCAAAGGAAUUGACGGGGACCCGCACAAGCGGCGGAGCAUGCGGAUUAAUUCGAUGCAACGCGAAGAACCUUACCAAGGCUUGACAUAUACGAGAACGGGCCAGAAAUGGUCAACUCUUUGGACACUCGUAAACAGGUGGUGCAUGGUUGUCGUCAGCUCGUGUCGUGAGAUGUUGGGUUAAGUCCCGCAACGAGCGCAACCCUCGUUCUAUGUUGCCAGCACGUAAUGGUGGGAACUCAUGGGAUACUGCCGGGGUCAACUCGGAGGAAGGUGGGGAUGACGUCAAAUCAUCAUGCCCCUUAUGUCUUGGGCUUCACGCAUGCUACAAUGGCCGGUACAAAGGGCUGCAAUACCGCGAGGUGGAGCGAAUCCCAAAAAGCCGGUACCCAGUUCGGAUUGAGGUCUGCAACUCGACCUCA